Long non-coding RNA from Rosa chinensis, 738 nucleotides. RefSeq lists it as uncharacterized. The transcript has 2 exons. The record is from RefSeq and is a predicted model, not a curated record. Lineage: Eukaryota; Viridiplantae; Streptophyta; Magnoliopsida; Rosales; Rosaceae.
CUCCCACUUUCUUCUCCCAUUCAUCCUCCCACUUCCAUAAAUCACUAGUAUAUUGGUUUGUGCAUAGAUCUUUUCAUCACACACAAUGAAAGGCCCAGCCGCCCAGUUAUUUCCAUUCACUGUAAUUCCAUUCCAGCUUUGAAUUUUCUUCUCUGUUUCUCUGCAAUAACAACCAUCAAGAAUGGCAGCUGUGAUUUUGUCUUCGACGAUGUUUGCAAUUUCAACUUGCUGCUACUCUUCGUCUCUCAAAGUAUUGAAUCUUCAAUUCUUCACUGACUUUGCAUGUUGAAAAAAUUUGAAGCUAUUAUUACAGGGAUUUGAACCCAUGUUCUCUUAUUCUUCAUAGCUAUUGGUCUACAGUCUUCUUUUCUUCUUCAUAGCUACUGAUUUGAGAUCGAGCAAGAUUUGGAUUCACUGAUUCAGACAGAUAACAGAACCGAAGAAUCGAGGAAAUGGAACCAAUUUUUAUCAGUUCAAGUUUUGCUCGGUUCUAGAGACUGAUAUUCUUCAAACCAAACUGAAGUUUAGUACAUCGGUUGGGUGCCGGUUCCGGUAGAUGAUGGUUGGAAACCCGACCUGUCCCAGCCCCAGCCCCAGAAUAGUCAAUGUAACCUGUUUUCAUAUAUCCUUAUGUCCUUUACAUGUUCUAUAGUUACCAUAUUACUAUCAGACUAUAACAAGUGGCAGAGCCAGAAUUUUAUAUCAAGUAAGACAUUUAGAAGUUUUAGGAAAAAAAAA